This 73-nucleotide transfer RNA is filed under the name Coemansia biformis. It matches the Rfam family "tRNA". From Rfam's summary of the family: Transfer RNA (tRNA) molecules are approximately 80 nucleotides in length. RNAcentral also lists the same sequence under 2 other names. The record is from Rfam by way of RNAcentral. Lineage: Eukaryota; Fungi; Kickxellomycota; Kickxellomycetes; Kickxellales; Kickxellaceae.
GCUUCGUUGGCUCAGUUGGUAGAGCGUGAGUCUCAUAAUCUCAAGGUCGUGAGUUCGAGCCUCACACGGAGCA